Molecule: ribosomal RNA, 253 nt
Filed under: uncultured bacterium
Lineage: Bacteria
Description: partial 16S ribosomal RNA
Rfam family: Bacterial small subunit ribosomal RNA
Source: RNAcentral
UACGAAGGUCCCGAGCGUUAUCCGGAUUCAUUGGGUUUAAAGGGUGCGUAGGUGGAUUGAUAAGUCAGUGGUGAAAGCCUGAUGCUUAACAUCAGAACUGCCAUUGAUACUGUUAAUCUUGAGUACAUUUGAAGUGGGCGGAAUGUGUCAUGUAGCGGUGAAAUGCUUAGAUAUGACACAGAACACCGAUUGCGAAGGCAGCUCACUAAACUGUAACUGACACUGAGGCACGAAAGCGUGGGGAUCAAACAGG